Molecule: ribosomal RNA, 1361 nt
Filed under: uncultured bacterium
Lineage: Bacteria
Description: bacterial SSU rRNA
Rfam family: Bacterial small subunit ribosomal RNA
Source: RNAcentral
AUUGAACGCUGGCGGCAGGCCUAACACAUGUAAGUCGAGCGGUAGCACAGAGAGCUUGCUCUCGGGUGACGAGCGGCGGACGGGUGAGUAAUGUCUGGGAAACUGCCUGAUGGAGGGGGAUAACUACUGGAAACGGUAGCUAAUACCGCAUAACGUCGCAAGACCAAAGUGGGGGACCUUCGGGCCUCAUGCCAUCAGAUGUGCCCAGAUGGGAUUAGCUAGUAGGUGGGGUAAUGGCUCACCUAGGCGACGAUCCCUAGCUGGUCUGAGAGGAUGACCAGCCACACUGGAACUGAGACACGGUCCAGACUCCUACGGGAGGCAGCAGUGGGGAAUAUUGCACAAUGGGCGCAAGCCUGAUGCAGCCAUGCCGCGUGUGUGAAGAAGGCCUUCGGGUUGUAAAGCACUUUCAGCGGGGAGGAAGGCGGUGAGGUUAAUAACCUCAUCGAUUGACGUUACCCGCAGAAGAAGCACCGGCUAACUCCGUGCCAGCAGCCGCGGUAAUACGGAGGGUGCAAGCGUUAAUCGGAAUUACUGGGCGUAAAGCGCACGCAGGCGGUCUGUCAAGUCGGAUGUGAAAUCCCCGGGCUCAACCUGGGAACUGCAUUCGAAACUGGCAGGCUAGAGUCUUGUAGAGGGGGGUAGAAUUCCAGGUGUAGCGGUGAAAUGCGUAGAGAUCUGGAGGAAUACCGGUGGCGAAGGCGGCCCCCUGGACAAAGACUGACGCUCAGGUGCGAAAGCGUGGGGAGCAAACAGGAUUAGAUACCCCGGUAGUCCACGCCGUAAACGAUGUCGAUUUGGAGGUUGUGCCCUUGAGGCGUGGCUUCCGGAGCUAACGCGUUAAAUCGACCGCCUGGGGAGUACGGCCGCAAGGUUAAAACUCAAAUGAAUUGACGGGGGCCCGCACAAGCGGUGGAGCAUGUGGUUUAAUUCGAUGCAACGCGAAGAACCUUACCUGGUCUUGACAUCCACAGAACUUUCCAGAGAUGGAUUGGUGCCUUCGGGAACUGUGAGACAGGUGCUGCAUGGCUGUCGUCAGCUCGUGUUGUGAAAUGUUGGGUUAAGUCCCGCAACGAGCGCAACCCUUAUCCUUUGUUGCCAGCGGUCCGGCCGGGAACUCAAAGGAGACUGCCAGUGAUAAACUGGAGGAAGGUGGGGAUGACGUCAAGUCAUCAUGGCCCUUACGACCAGGGCUACACACGUGCUACAAUGGCAUAUACAAAGAGAAGCGACCUCGCGAGAGCAAGCGGACCUCAUAAAGUAUGUCGUAGUCCGGAUUGGAGUCUGCAACUCGACUCCAUGAAGUCGGAAUCGCUAGUAAUCGUAGAUCAGAAUGCUACGGUGAAUACGUUCCCGGGCCU